Molecule: ribosomal RNA, 2101 nt
Filed under: Salmonella enterica subsp. enterica
Lineage: Bacteria; Pseudomonadati; Pseudomonadota; Gammaproteobacteria; Enterobacterales; Enterobacteriaceae
Description: partial 23S ribosomal RNA
Rfam family: Bacterial large subunit ribosomal RNA
Source: RNAcentral
AGACCCGAAACCCGGUGAUCUAGCCAUGGGCAGGUUGAAGGUUGGGUAACACUAACUGGAGGACCGAACCGACUAAUGUUGAAAAAUUAGCGGAUGACCUGUGGCUGGGGGUGAAAGGCCAAUCAAACCGGGAGAUAGCUGGUUCUCCCCGAAAGCUAUUUAGGUAGCGCCUCGUGAAUUCAUCUCCGGGGGUAGAGCACUGUUUCGGCUAGGGGGCCAUCCCGGCUUACCAACCCGAUGCAAACUGCGAAUACCGGAGAAUGUUAUCACGGGAGACACACGGCGGGUGCUAACGUCCGUCGUGAAGAGGGAAACAACCCAGACCGCCAGCUAAGGUCCCAAAGUCAUGGUUAAGUGGGAAACGAUGUGGGAAGGCCCAGACAGCCAGGAUGUUGGCUUAGAAGCAGCCAUCAUUUAAAGAAAGCGUAAUAGCUCACUGGUCGAGUCGGCCUGCGCGGAAGAUGUAACGGGGCUAAACCAUGCACCGAAGCUGCGGCAGCGACGCUGAUGCGUUGUUGGGUAGGGGAGCGUUCUGUAAGCCUGCGAAGGUGGCCUGUGAGGGUUGCUGGAGGUAUCAGAAGUGCGAAUGCUGACAUAAGUAACGAUAAAGCGGGUGAAAAGCCCGCUCGCCGGAAGACCAAGGGUUCCUGUCCAACGUUAAUCGGGGCAGGGUGAGUCGACCCCUAAGGCGAGGCCGAAAGGCGUAGUCGAUGGGAAACGGGUUAAUAUUCCCGUACUUGGUGUUACUGCGAAGGGGGGACGGAGAAGGCUAUGUUGGCCGGGCGACGGUUGUCCCGGUUUAAGCGUGUAGGUGUGUGUUCCAGGUAAAUCCGGUUCACUUUAACACUGAGGCGUGAUGACGAGGCACUACGGUGCUGAAGCAACAAAUGCCCUGCUUCCAGGAAAAGCCUCUAAGCAUCAGGUAACAUCAAAUCGUACCCCAAACCGACACAGGUGGUCAGGUAGAGAAUACCAAGGCGCUUGAGAGAACUCGGGUGAAGGAACUAGGCAAAAUGGUGCCGUAACUUCGGGAGAAGGCACGCUGACACGUAGGUGAAGUGAUUUACUCAUGGAGCUGAAGUCAGUCGAAGAUACCAGCUGGCUGCAACUGUUUAUUAAAAACACAGCACUGUGCAAACACGAAAGUGGACGUAUACGGUGUGACGCCUGCCCGGUGCCGGAAGGUUAAUUGAUGGGGUCAGCGCAAGCGAAGCUCCUGAUCGAAGCCCCGGUAAACGGCGGCCGUAACUAUAACGGUCCUAAGGUAGCGAAAUUCCUUGUCGGGUAAGUUCCGACCUGCACGAAUGGCGUAAUGAUGGCCAGGCUGUCUCCACCCGAGACUCAGUGAAAUUGAACUCGCUGUGAAGAUGCAGUGUACCCGCGGCAAGACGGAAAGACCCCGUGAACCUUUACUAUAGCUUGACACUGAACAUUGAGCCUUGAUGUGUAGGAUAGGUGGGAGGCUUUGAAGUGUGGACGCCAGUCUGCAUGGAGCCGACCUUGAAAUACCACCCUUUAAUGUUUGAUGUUCUAACGUGGACCCGUGAUCCGGGUUGCGGACAGUGUCUGGUGGGUAGUUUGACUGGGGCGGUCUCCUCCUAAAGAGUAACGGAGGAGCACGAAGGUUGGCUAAUCCUGGUCGGACAUCAGGAGGUUAGUGCAAUGGCAUAAGCCAGCUUGACUGCGAGCGUGACGGCGCGAGCAGGUGCGAAAGCAGGUCAUAGUGAUCCGGUGGUUCUGAAUGGAAGGGCCAUCGCUCAACGGAUAAAAGGUACUCCGGGGAUAACAGGCUGAUACCGCCCAAGAGUUCAUAUCGACGGCGGUGUUUGGCACCUCGAUGUCGGCUCAUCACAUCCUGGGGCUGAAGUAGGUCCCAAGGGUAUGGCUGUUCGCCAUUUAAAGUGGUACGCGAGCUGGGUUUAGAACGUCGUGAGACAGUUCGGUCCCUAUCUGCCGUGGGCGCUGGAGAACUGAGGGGGGCUGCUCCUAGUACGAGAGGACCGGAGUGGACGCAUCACUGGUGUUCGGGUUGUCAUGCCAAUGGCACUGCCCGGUAGCUAAAUGCGGAAGAGAUAAGUGCUGAAAGCAUCUAAGCACGAAA